RNAcentral lists this ribosomal RNA (515 nucleotides) under uncultured bacterium. RNAcentral describes it as "partial 16S ribosomal RNA". It matches the Rfam family "Bacterial small subunit ribosomal RNA", at positions 28 to 523 of the family's 1533-position model. The record is from RNAcentral.
GACGAACGCUGGCGGCGUGCCUAAUACAUGCAAGUCGAGCGGACUUUCAAGAAGCUUGCUUUUUGAAAGUUAGCGGCGGACGGGUGAGUAACACGUGGGCAACCUGCCUGUAAGACGGGGAUAACUCCGGGAAGCCGGGGCUAAUACCGGAUAAUAUCUUUCUUCGCAUGAAGGAAGGUUGAAAGGCGGCGCAAGCUGCCGCUUGCAGAUGGGCCCGCGGCGCAUUAGCUAGUUGGUUAGGUAACGGCUAACCAAGGCGACGAUGCGUAGCCGACCUGAGAGGGUGAUCGGCCACACUGGGACUGAGACACGGCCCAGACUCCUACGGGAGGCAGCAGUAGGGAAUCUUCCGCAAUGGACGAAAGUCUGACGGAGCAACGCCGCGUGAGCGAAGAAGGUCUUCGGAUCGUAAAGCUCUGUUGUCAGGGAAGAACAAGUACCGUUCGAAUAGGGCGGUACCUUGACGGUACCUGACCAGAAAGCCACGGCUAACUACGUGCCAGCAGCCGCAGUAA